This 76-nucleotide transfer RNA is filed under the name Bacilli bacterium. Its description in RNAcentral is "tRNA-Val". It matches the Rfam family "tRNA". From Rfam's summary of the family: Transfer RNA (tRNA) molecules are approximately 80 nucleotides in length. Their secondary structure includes four short double-helical elements and three loops (D, anti-codon, and T loops). The record is from RNAcentral. RNAcentral also lists the same sequence under 1 other name. Lineage: Bacteria; Bacillati; Bacillota; Bacilli.
GGAUGCUUAGCUCAGUUGGGAGAGCAUCACCCUUACAAGGUGGGGGUCGGGAGUUCGAGCCUCUCAGCAUCCACCA